UCGGAUGGUAUUGUCACCAAUAGUCCUCUAUAUAGUCCAACUGUGCCGGGACGUAGAAUGGGUACAACCGGUCUUUCUCUUAACAUAACAUAUCAUACAGUCCAACUGUGCCAGGGACGUAGAAUGGGUACAACCUGGACUUCCUCUUACAUCAUGCCAGGGACGUAGAAUGGGUACAACCUGGACUUCCAUACCAUCUCAUGCCGUAGCAUCAUCAUAUCAUAUGAGGACUAAAGGAUCCUCCAAUAACCAAUCCACAUCAACAUCAUAAAUGCAAUGCAACAUAUUCGUGAAUACUAAUGCAAGCAACCUACUAUAUCUCAUGGCAUUCAUGAUGCAUGGAUCAUGCUCAAAAUUCAUAUUUCAUUUA
This 370-nucleotide long non-coding RNA is filed under the name Manihot esculenta (cassava). RNAcentral describes it as "long non-coding RNA (MESC_LNC001656)". The record is from RNAcentral. Lineage: Eukaryota; Viridiplantae; Streptophyta; Magnoliopsida; Malpighiales; Euphorbiaceae.